Molossus molossus (Pallas's mastiff bat) is the source of this 1194-nucleotide long non-coding RNA. RefSeq lists it as uncharacterized. The record is from RefSeq and is a predicted model, not a curated record. The transcript is spliced from 3 exons. NCBI's taxonomy places the organism in Eukaryota, Metazoa, Chordata, Mammalia, Chiroptera, Molossidae.
GGCCCCUAUAGAGCAGGGUGUGGCCAGAGAUCUCUGGAGCCUCCAUGGACACUUGCUGACCGUUGCCUGGGGCACUUCAUUAGCGUCCCGGGCCUCAGUCUCCCUUCUCAUGGGCCGGCACGCACCCGCGUCGGCCUCCUGGCUGCCUUCCACACCGAUUUGCUGGCCUCACACGCAAACUGAGACGGUGGCCUCGCCAGGCGGGGACCCUGGCCAGCUCCGGACAAAGGCCUGGUGACUGGUCUGGGCAACGGCGACCCACUGCUGGCGAGGAGCCCACUCCGGGCCACAGACGUCCCCGCUGUCCCUCGCUUUGUCUCCGGCGGCAACGUGGCUCUGGGGUGACUUCUCUGUUGUCUCAGUUCAUCUCUGUCGUUUGCAGAACAUCCGCCUCCUUGGAGAGCAGCUGCCAGGGCGUCGGCUCCAGGGCUCGGCUGGGGGUCCCUCCAAAGGCUGGUGGGCCAGGAGCCCGUCCUCGGGUCACAGACGCACAGAUGAAUCGCUCGGGAAUAGCCGAGUUCACCCACAGCGCUGGCGGCAGGCCCCGCCCCCGAGAAGAGACCGUCCCUCCGAGCACAGGGGUGUCCACCGGCGUGGCCCAGGCCUCGGUGUCUGCACAGGCAGAGGUGGCAUCGUGUUCUCUUUACGAUCCACCGACCAGGUCAUUGCCCAGAGCCUUGGUCAGAGAUUAGAUAUAAAUGGAAACAUGUCCUCGGGUGAAGAUUAAAAAAAAAAAGGCCAGCCUGGACUUCUCUGUCUGGCAGAGAGCUGAGUUCCGAGAACCAUCUGAGGAUGUCUGGGGCACCCCGAGUCCCGGAAAGAAAGGCAGAUGCAGCAGCGUGGGGAGGCCCCUCCACACAGGCUGGUUUGUGGCACAGGCGUAGAGGAAGGGAGAGGCCCGGCUCCUGGUGCCCACAGGCCCGGCCUUGUCCAGACCAGCCCUUCCCUGUCAGGGUCCCUUGGAUGUCAUCAUGGCCCCACGCGCUGCUUUGUGAUAACAGAUACAAAAAGGCAAAUGCCUUUCCCACCCCGAGCGCAGUCGGCACUGUCCGGGCCUGCCCAGCGCCCACCCCGCAGGUCUGGGCUGGAGGUGGGGUCAGAAGGGCCCUUUGGCGGAGGCCUCGCAUUCCAGGAGACUGCAUGAGAUCCUGGAACUGCCUUGGGACGAUCUUGCAUCGAGGGUGUGUUUGUGUC